UACAGAGGUCUCAAGCGUUGUUCGGAUUCAUUGGGCGUAAAGGGUGCGUAGGCGGCGCGGUAAGUCGGGUGUGAAAUUUCGAGGCUUAACUUCGAAACUGCAUUCGAUACUGCCGUGCUAGAGGACUGGAGAGGAGACUGGAAUUUACGGUGUAGCGGUGAAAUGCGUAGAUAUCGUAAGGAAGACCAGUGGCGAAGGCGGCUCACUGGCCCGGUACUGACGCUGAGGCACGAAAGCGUGGGGAGCAAACAGG
RNAcentral lists this ribosomal RNA (253 nucleotides) under uncultured bacterium. Its description in RNAcentral is "partial 16S ribosomal RNA". It matches the Rfam family "Bacterial small subunit ribosomal RNA", at positions 524 to 776 of the family's 1533-position model. The record is from RNAcentral.